AAAAGGAAGAUAUUUAUUAUAGAUCUUUAGAUAUGCUAGGCAUGCUAGCAUAUACCUUUAAUCCUAGCAUUUGGGAGGCAGAAGCAGGCAGAUCUCUGAGUUUGAUGCUAGCUUGGUCUAUAAGAAGGCCAACCAGAGCUGCAUAUUGAGACCUUGUUUCAGUAUAGAACCAAACAGUCUUUAGGCAAUAUGAAAAUACUAAGAAAAAAGUAAAAAUUUCUUUUCAAAUAUAUUAUGUGUGUGUGUGUGUGUGUGUGUGUAUUACAUAAAUAGGACUCUUGAUUUAUUUUUGAGACAGGAUCUUGUAUUGUCCUUGCUGGGUUGUAUUCACUGUGUAGACCAGGUUGAACUUGAACUUGUGGUGACCCUCCUGCCUCUGCCUCCCAAGUACUGGGAUAGUGGCUGAGCUCUGCUAUAUCUAUUUAUUUUAUAUUUGAUUACAUGUGAGAAGUGGAGGUACAUGAAUGUGUGUACAGGUGUCACUGGGGGCCAGAAGGGGAAAUCAGAUCCCCUAAGGUUGUAGUUAACAUGGUUAUGAGAUGCCCAGCCUGGGUAUUGGGAAAUGAAGUUGGUUCUCUGAUAGAGCUGUACAUAGUUCAAGUACUUUUAACCUGCGAGUCAUCUUUUCAGCCCUAGAUUUUUUUUUUGGAAUAAUUUUACACUGUUUAUAGCCUGCUUUACUUAAUAGUUUGUUACAGAGUGGACAUUUGAUGUGGUCCAAAUCUGUGUUUUUAAUGACUAAUCUAUCAUGAUAUGAUUUGAGUCAUUAUUUAUCACUCUUGCAUUGAUGACAUUUACAUUUAGGGUGUUUCCAGUUCUCUUUUCAUAAACAGUACUGUAGAGAACAAUUUUACACAUGUAUUUAACUGUAUUUAUAAAUGGCUAGAACUGAUCAUAUAGGUUUGAAAUACAGCUGCUCAGAAGACUGAAGCAGUAGAAUUUAAAGUUUAAGGCUAGCUGGGCAAACAUUGAGUUCCCUGACAGCCUCAGCUGUUGAGUGAAACCAUUGAACAAAAC
Molecule: long non-coding RNA, 1017 nt
Filed under: Mus musculus (house mouse)
Lineage: Eukaryota; Metazoa; Chordata; Mammalia; Rodentia; Muridae
Description: long non-coding RNA chr8:107309787-107310804
Source: RNAcentral